This 254-nucleotide ribosomal RNA is filed under the name uncultured bacterium. Its description in RNAcentral is "partial 16S ribosomal RNA". It matches the Rfam family "Bacterial small subunit ribosomal RNA", at positions 524 to 776 of the family's 1533-position model. The record is from RNAcentral.
UACGGGGGGAGCAAGCGUUGUUCGGAUUUACUGGGCGUAAAGGGCGCGUAGGCGGCCACCGCAAGUCGACUGUGAAAUCUCCGGGCUUAACCCGGAAAGGUCAGCCGAUACUGCGGGGCUAGAGUGCAGAAGGGGCAACUGGAAUUCUCGGUGUAGCGGUGAAAUGCGUAGAUAUCGAGAGGAACACCUGUGGCGAAGGCGGGUUGCUGGGCUGACACUGACGCUGAUGUGCGAAAGCUAGGGGAGCGAACGGG